Molecule: ribosomal RNA, 468 nt
Filed under: uncultured bacterium
Lineage: Bacteria
Description: partial 16S ribosomal RNA
Rfam family: Bacterial small subunit ribosomal RNA
Source: RNAcentral
GACGAACGCUGGCGGCGUGCUUAACACAUGCAAGUCGAACGGAAAGGCCCUGCUUUUGUGGGGUGCUCGAGUGGCGAACGGGUGAGUAACGCGUGAGUAACCUGCCCUUGACUUUGGGAUAACUUCAGGAAACUGGGGCUAAUACCGGAUAGGAGCUCCUGCUGCAUGGUGGGGGUUGGAAAGUUUCGGCGGUUGGGGAUGGACUCGCGGCUUAUCAGCUUGUUGGUGGGGUAGUGGCUUACCAAGGCUUUGAUGGGUAGCCGGCCUGAGAGGGUGACCGGCCACAUUGGGACUGAGAUACGGCCCAGACUCCUACGGGAGGCAGCAGUGGGGAAUAUUGCACAAUGGGCGGAAGCCUGAUGCAGCAACGCCGCGUGCGGGAUGACGGCCUUCGGGUUGUAAACCGCUUUCGCCUGUGACGAAGCGUGAGUGACGGUAAUGGGUAAAGAAGCACCGGCUAACUACGUG